RNAcentral lists this non-coding RNA (95 nucleotides) under unclassified sequences. RNAcentral describes it as "Rhodo-rpoB RNA". It matches the Rfam family "Rhodo-rpoB RNA". The record is from RNAcentral.
GGAUCGGGCGGCGGCCUGUGGGAGGGUCGCCAGGUAUGGAUCCCAGACCCCCUGUUUCGUGAGGGCGUGCCGCCGGGGCCCGACGGCAGAGCGCG